GGGUGAGUAACACGUGGGGAACCUGCCUAGGCUGGGAUACCACUUGGAAACAGGUGCUAAUACCGGAUAAGAAAGCAGAUCGCAUGAUCAGCUUAUAAAAGGCGGCGUAAGCUGUCGCUAUAGGAUGGCCCCGCGGUGCAUUAGCUAGUUGGUAGGGUAAAGGCCUACCAAGGCGAUGAUGCAUAGCCGAGUUGAGAGACUGACCGGCCACAUUGGGACUGAGACACGGCCCAAACUCCUACGGGAGGCAGCAGUAGGGAAUCUUCCACAAUGGACGCAAGUCUGAUGGAGCAACGCCGCGUGAGUGAAGAAGGUUUUCGGAUCGUAAAGCUCUUUUGUUUUGUGAAGAAGGAUAGAGGUAGUAACUGGCCUUUAUUUGACGGUAAUCAACCAGAAAGUCACGGCUAACUACGUGCCAGCAGCCGCGGUAAUACGUAGGUGGCAAGCGUUGUCCGGAUUUAUUGGGCGUAAAGCGAGCGCAGGCGGAAGAAUAAGUCUGAUGUGAAAGCCCUCGGCUCAACCGAGGAAUUGCAUCGGAAACUGUUUUUCUUGAGUGCAGAAGAGGAGAGUGGAACUCCAUGUGUAGCGGUGGAAUGCGUAGAUAUAUGGAAGAACACCAGUGGCGAAGGCGGCUCUCUGGUCUGCAACUGACGCUGAGGCUCGAAAGCAUGGGUAGCGAACAGGAUUAGAUACCCUGGUAGUCCAUGCCGUAAACGAUGAGUGCUAAGUGUUGGGAGGUUUCCGCCUCUCAGUGCUGCAGCUAACGCAUUAAGCACUCCGCCUGGGGAGUACGACCGCAAGGUUGAAACUCAAAGGAAUUGACGGGGGCCCGCACAAGCGGUGGAGCAUGUGGUUUAACUCGAAGCAACGCGAAGAACCUUACCAGGUCUUGACAUCUAGUGCCAUCCUAGAGAUUAGGAGUUCCCUUCGGGGACGCUAGACAGGUGGUGCAUGGCUGUCGUCAGCCCGUGUCGUGAGAUGUAGGUUAAGUCCCGCACGAGCGCACCCUUGUUAUAGUGCCAGCAUUAGUUGG
RNAcentral lists this ribosomal RNA (1033 nucleotides) under uncultured bacterium. RNAcentral describes it as "bacterial SSU rRNA". It matches the Rfam family "Bacterial small subunit ribosomal RNA", at positions 104 to 1134 of the family's 1533-position model. The record is from RNAcentral.